RNAcentral lists this ribosomal RNA (486 nucleotides) under uncultured bacterium. Its description in RNAcentral is "partial 16S ribosomal RNA". It matches the Rfam family "Bacterial small subunit ribosomal RNA", at positions 30 to 507 of the family's 1533-position model. The record is from RNAcentral.
AUUGAACGCUGGCGGCAUGCCUUACACAUGCAAGUCGAACGGCAGCACGGGUGCUUGCACCUGGUGGCGAGUGGCGAACGGGUGAGUAAUACAUCGGAACAUGUCCUGUAGUGGGGGAUAGCCCGGCGAAAGCCGGAUUAAUACCGCAUACGAUCUACGGAUGAAAGCGGGGGACCUUCGGGCCUCGCGCUAUAGGGUUGGUCGAUGGCUGAUUAGCUAGUUGGUGGGGUAAAGGCCUACCAAGGCGACGAUCAGUAGCUGGUCUGAGAGGACGACCAGCCACACUGGGACUGAGACACGGCCCAGACUCCUACGGGAGGCAGCAGUGGGGAAUUUUGGACAAUGGGCGAAAGCCUGAUCCAGCAAUGCCGCGUGUGUGAAGAAGGCCUUCGGGUUGUAAAGCACUUUUGGCCGGAAAGAAAUCCUUGGCCCUAAUACGGUCGGGGGAUGACGGUACCGGAAGAAUAAGCACCGGCUAACUACGUG